Molecule: ribosomal RNA, 696 nt
Filed under: uncultured bacterium
Lineage: Bacteria
Description: bacterial SSU rRNA
Rfam family: Bacterial small subunit ribosomal RNA
Source: RNAcentral
UGCAGUCGAGCGGUAGAGAGAAGCUUGCUUCUCUUGAGAGCGGCGGACGGGUGAGUAAUGCCUAGGAAUCUGCCUGGUAGUGGGGGAUAACGUCCGGAAACGGACGCUAAUACCGCAUACGUCCUACGGGAGAAAGCAGGGGACCUUCGGGCCUUGCGCUAUCAGAUGAGCCUAGGUCGGAUUAGCUAGUUGGUGGGGUAAUGGCUCACCAAGGCGACGAUCCGUAACUGGUCUGAGAGGAUGAUCAGUCACACUGGAACUGAGACACGGUCCAGACUCCUACGGGAGGCAGCAGUGGGGAAUAUUGGACAAUGGGCGAAAGCCUGAUCCAGCCAUGCCGCGUGUGUGAAGAAGGUCUUCGGAUUGUAAAGCACUUUAAGUUGGGAGGAAGGGCAGUAAAUUAAUACUUUGCUGUUUUGACGUUACCGACAGAAUAAGCACCGGCUAACUCUGUGCCAGCAGCCGCGGUAAUACAGAGGGUGCAAGCGUUAAUCGGAAUUACUGGGCGUAAAGCGCGCGUAGGUGGUUCGUUAAGUUGGAUGUGAAAUCCCCGGGCUCAACCUGGGAACUGCAUUCAAAACUGACGAGCUAGAGUAUGGUAGAGGGUGGUGGAAUUUCCUGUGUAGCGGUGAAAUGCGUAGAUAUAGGAAGGAACACCAGUGGCGAAGGCGACCACCUGGACUGAUACUGACACUG